Molecule: non-coding RNA, 111 nt
Organism: Acanthosepion pharaonis
Lineage: Eukaryota; Metazoa; Mollusca; Cephalopoda; Sepiida; Sepiidae
Source: the annotation of a GenBank genome assembly
UCCGGCCAUAUCACGCUGAAAUACCGAUUCCUAUACGAUCACCGAAGUUAAGCAACGUCGAGCCUGGUCAGUAACCUGAUGAGUGAGCGGUUGGUAAUACCCUUGCUGUAA